GCUAAACAAGGGUCAGUAGCGGCUGGAAUACGUAGGGGGAUAGGUGUAUCCUGAGUGAUUGGGGGGAAAGCGGCUGCAGGGGGGUGGUACAGUCUGGCGUGAAAGCGCUCGGCUUAACUGGGCGGGGUCGUUGGAAACUGGAGAGCUUGAGGCAAGGAGAUGGGCGUGGAAUUCCCGGUGUAGGUGUGGAAUGCGUAGAUAUCGGGAGGAACAUCAGUGGCGCAAGCGGCGCCCUGGCCUUAGCCUGACGCUCAGGGGCGAAAGCGUGGGGAGCGAACGGGAUUAGAUACCCCAGUAGUC
RNAcentral lists this ribosomal RNA (300 nucleotides) under uncultured Alicyclobacillus sp. RNAcentral describes it as "bacterial SSU rRNA". It matches the Rfam family "Bacterial small subunit ribosomal RNA", at positions 496 to 795 of the family's 1533-position model. The record is from RNAcentral. Lineage: Bacteria; Bacillati; Bacillota; Bacilli; Caryophanales; Alicyclobacillaceae.